CAGAAGACCUCUAGGCCUUCAUGACCCAGAAGAGGCACCAUUAAUAGUGGAAUUGCAGGUAUCACAAAAAUACUGAAGAAUGGAUAGGAGAAGGAGAAACAGCCCAAGUGAAAGAUCCAGCACAAGUGCAUGGAGCCUACAUGAUAGUCAUUCGCCAUGACUGAGGGAAAUUCACUCUUUAAAUAUGCACUGAGGAGACUUCUGUUCCCAGGAAGAUGAAGUAGACAUCCUUUUUCCUAUUUCUGCCACUAAAUAAAGCUAAAAACUCUGGACAUUUUGUAUAAAACAAACAUAUGAAGCUUCGGAAAGUUGGAAAGAAGACAGAUCGGCUAAGGACCUCAUGACCAGUAGAAAGACAUGGUAGUGAAGUCUCUAGAUUUUCUUUUUGCUUCAUAGGUCUCUGGUCAGGUACUGGAGAAGCUAGCAAUCCAGAAAUUCCAAUGGGCUUGGACACAGUCACGGGCCAGUGGAGAACACGUGGGGAGUCUGGACUUCCACUCGCUCCCACCCAGUAGCUACAAGGUACCUCACCCCCAGGGUCAGUGGAGGGCACGUGGAG
RNAcentral lists this long non-coding RNA (559 nucleotides) under Equus asinus (donkey). RNAcentral's name for it is "lncRNA (ENSEASG00005028647.1)". Lineage: Eukaryota; Metazoa; Chordata; Mammalia; Perissodactyla; Equidae. The record is from RNAcentral.